GUUGGGCUGGGGCUCAGUGGUGGAGCGCUCGCCUAGCAUGUGAGAGGCGCUGGAUUCGAUCCUCAGCACCAUAUA
This 75-nucleotide transfer RNA is filed under the name Marmota monax (woodchuck). RNAcentral describes it as "tRNA.Ala". The record is from RNAcentral. Lineage: Eukaryota; Metazoa; Chordata; Mammalia; Rodentia; Sciuridae.